Molecule: ribosomal RNA, 442 nt
Filed under: uncultured bacterium
Lineage: Bacteria
Description: partial 16S ribosomal RNA
Rfam family: Bacterial small subunit ribosomal RNA
Source: RNAcentral
CCUACGGGAGGCAGCAGUGGGGAAUAUUGGGCAAUGGGCGCAAGCCUGACCCAGCAAUGCCGCGUGAAGGAAGAAGGCUUUCCGGUUUUAAACUUCCUUUACAGGGGAAGAGCAGAAGACGGUACCCUGAAAACAAGCCACGGCUAACUACGUGACAGCAGCCGCGGUAAUACGUAGGUGGCAAGCGUUGUCCGGAUUUACUGGGUGUAAAGGGCGUGUAGCCGGGAAGGCAAGUCAGAUGUGAAAGCCGGAGGCUCAACCUCCGAAUUGCAUUUGAAACUGUUUUUCUUGAGUACUGGAGAGGCAGACGGAAUGCGUGGUGUAGCGGUGAAAUGCGUAGAUAUAAGGAGGAACACCAGUGGCGAAGGCAGUCUGCUGGACAGCAACUGACGGUGAGGCGCGAAAGCGUGGGGAGCAAACAGGAUUAGAUACCCCUGUAGUC